Paramisgurnus dabryanus is the source of this 2008-nucleotide non-coding RNA. Lineage: Eukaryota; Metazoa; Chordata; Actinopteri; Cypriniformes; Cobitidae. The record is from RefSeq and is a predicted model, not a curated record.
UAAAAAUGGCUGGGUUAUUUUUUAACCCAAAAUGCUGGGUUGAGUCUGUUGGGUUGUUUUGCUGGGUUAUUUUUUAACAUUUUAAACACUUUUUGGGUAGUUUCAGUUUUCUGGUUGUUGGGUUAAAACUGCUGGGUUAUUAUGCUGGGUUGUUUGAAGAGGCUCACGUGCUUCGCGCCUUUGAUGUUUGAAUGUGCUCAGCAACGGUCGUUGUGAAAGGACAGAGUCACUGGAAGAAGUUGUUUCAAGGUAAGUUUAUAUGUUUUUGUAAACAUUUCAUGAAUAUAAACAAAAUUAUAACAUUUUGCGAGACACCAACGUGUUAAUUUAUACAGACUAAGACGACGGGUGUAAUUUAGAGGAAUGACGACUGUUACCUCAGAUCGCCAUUUACACAAAUUGACUUGAAUAAUCGUUCUAAGAUGUUUAAUAUGGCAUAUUAAUAAAAUUAAUAAAAUCGAUGUUACAAAAUCCCCAUCACACGGUUGAUUUAUUAACUCAUGACAAUUUCUGUAAGCCUUUAACAAAGCGAGUCAAAACCGGUACCGAGUCGACCUCCGCAACCCCACUUCGGCUUGUUGGGUCACACACGCGCAUAGUUUUCCCAGCUUAGCAAUAGCGACACUAUUAAAUUAAAUUUGAUGACAAACGAGUUGCUUUCUUGUCAUUCGAUAUGGAAAGACAGACCGCGAGGCGCGAGCACAAGUUAACUUAACCGGCGGCGGAGAAUUGCGGAGCUGGCGUCUACUCUGUCACUGAGAGGCAGGGACAAGCAGCACUUUCAAUUCACCGUCUGUACGGCAGGUAACUCGUCGAUAAAUGAAAACGAAACAGCGUUUCCAAGAACCGGUGUCUAAUAUGUAUAUUGCUUGGUCCUCUCUUUUAAAAUGAAACAAUAAUUUAAGUGUUUGGACAUGAACUUGAAAACAUAAACGUAUUUGUCACCAAGACGGAGGCUGCGUGUACCGUUUAACAAACAUUUAUAUGUGUUAUAUGAAUGAAGAUGUGUUAUUGAGUCGUAUUUAGUUACUAUUUUAUAUUAAUUUAAUAAUAUUCUUGGGUUGUCUCCUGUGAUUUCAAGUUUAUAUUGACCAACCCUCUGAUCUGUGGCUGACUACUGUAUCAGAGAUGUUAUGUUUUUUGCAGAGAUCAGAUGUGAUGUUUUCCCAUUCUUUUUUUUAGAGUGUGCAGAGUUUUUACGUCCAUCCAUUGAUGAGGCUAGCAAGGCCUUCAUACAGCCAAUUGCAACAAAUGUGGUGGAAGUUCUUCUCUGGACAGAAUCCUCAAAAUCCUUUCCUUUAUUUCCUGGCCAUGGGAAACAUGCAACAGAUCUCUCAAUCUUUUUUCUCAAUCAGUUUCUCUGAUGGAGCCAAUACGGAAGUGACUUAAACUGCAAUUCGGCCAAGAUGGCGACGGCACGCACCGCCUACUUUAGGCUUCAAAAAUGCUCUUCACAAACCAGUGGGUGACGUCACGGACACUACUUUCAUAUUUUUUUACAGUCUAUGGUUUAAAGGCAUUUUACGUGCUUGAAAAUAAAUACCCAGGCAAUGUGCAUCUACUGUAGUCUGUCAUUUUCCAAAUGGAUAAAUCCUCUGCUGUUCGGUUCCUUUGUACAUCUUUGUUCGUGAGGAGUAACUUUAAUAAAUGAAGUAUUUUUAGUCAAAUACAUUCCAUACUCUGAAACUUGGAACAUCUGGUCUAUAAAAAACUUAAUUUAACAAUUACAUUGUUUAUUUUCUUACACUGCUGCAGAUUUGUUUAUGUACAUUUCAGUAUUUCAUUUAUAUAUUGUAUAUACUUAUAUACAAAUUCUGUCUUAAAUUCAAACAAAUUGAUUUAACCUGUUACAUUGUUACUUCAAUGUGCAUAAUUUCUGAUAUUUAAUAAAUAUAUUUAUACUUGAUGUCAGUAAGCAGCAGUCCUUUAAAUGAUUUUGCAACUGCCAACUGUAAAAAUUUAAGAGUUUGUAGUUAUUUUGAAGUCAAAUAAACAUUUAUUUGGUGUU